CCCUUAGAUGUCCUGGGCCGCACGCGCGCUACACUGAGUGUCUGAGAUACGAGUCUGCCUGGUCCGGCAAGGUCUAGGUAAUCGCUAAAAGACACAUCAUGCUUGGGAUAGAUUAUUGAAAUUAUUAAUCUUGAACGAGGAAUUCCUAGUAAACGCAGAUCAUCAAUCUGCAUUGAUUACGUCCCUGCCCUUUGUACACACCGCCCGUCGCACCUACCGAUUGGAUGGUCCGGUGAAGCCUCGGGAUUGUGGUUCUUGCCGCUUUAUUGUGGCGUGACCGCGAGAACUUGUCUAAACCUUAUCAUCUAGAGGAAGGUGAAGUCGUAACA
Molecule: ribosomal RNA, 329 nt
Filed under: uncultured eukaryote
Lineage: Eukaryota
Description: partial 18S ribosomal RNA
Rfam family: Eukaryotic small subunit ribosomal RNA
Source: RNAcentral